This 280-nucleotide ribosomal RNA is filed under the name uncultured Sphingomonadales bacterium. RNAcentral's name for it is "partial 16S ribosomal RNA". It matches the Rfam family "Bacterial small subunit ribosomal RNA", at positions 505 to 784 of the family's 1533-position model. The record is from RNAcentral. Lineage: Bacteria; Pseudomonadati; Pseudomonadota; Alphaproteobacteria; Sphingomonadales.
GUGCCAGCAGCCGCGGUAAUACGGAGGGGGCUAGCGUUGUUCGGAAUUACUGGGCGUAAAGCGUACGUAGGCGGCUUUGUAAGUUAGAGGUGAAAGCCCGGGGCUCAACUCCGGAAUUGCCUUUAAGACUGCAUCGCUUGAAUCAUGGAGAGGUUAGUGGAAUUCCGAGUGUAGAGGUGAAAUUCGUAGAUAUUCGGAAGAACACCAGUGGCGAAGGCGACUAACUGGACAUGUAUUGACGCUGAGGUACUACAGCGUGGGGAGCAAACAGGAUUAGAUA